This 465-nucleotide ribosomal RNA is filed under the name Vreelandella stevensii. RNAcentral describes it as "partial 16S ribosomal RNA". It matches the Rfam family "Bacterial small subunit ribosomal RNA", at positions 338 to 795 of the family's 1533-position model. Lineage: Bacteria; Pseudomonadati; Pseudomonadota; Gammaproteobacteria; Oceanospirillales; Halomonadaceae. The record is from RNAcentral.
CCUACGGGAGGCAGCAGUGGGGAAUAUUGGACAAUGGGGGCAACCCUGAUCCAGCCAUGCCGCGUGUGUGAAGAAGGCCCUCGGGUUGUAAAGCACUUUCAGUGAGGAAGAACGCCUGGUGGUUAAUACCCAUCAGGAAAGACAUCACUCACAGAAGAAGCACCGGCUAACUCCGUGCCAGCAGCCGCGGUAAUACGGAGGGUGCGAGCGUUAAUCGGAAUUACUGGGCGUAAAGCGCGCGUAGGUGGCUUGAUAAGCCGGUUGUGAAAGCCCCGGGCUCAACCUGGGAACGGCAUCCGGAACUGUCAAGCUAGAGUGCAGGAGAGGAAGGUAGAAUUCCUGGUGUAGCGGUGAAAUGCGUAGAGAUCGGGAGGAAUACCAGUGGCGAAGGCGGCCUUCUGGACUGACACUGACACUGAGGUGCGAAAGCGUGGGUAGCAAACAGGAUUAGAUACCCCAGUAGUC